UAGGGAAUCUUCCACAAUGGACGCAAGUCUGAUGGAGCAACGGCCGCGUGAGUGAAGAAGGCUUUCGGGUCGUAAAACUCUGUUAUUGAAGAAGAACGUGUGUGACAGUAACUGGUCAUGCAGUGACGGUAUUCAAUCAGAAAGUCACGGCUAACUACGUGCCAGCAGCCGCGGUAAUACGUAGGUGGCAAGCGUUGUCCGGAUUUAUUGGGCGUAAAGCGAGUGCAGGCGGUCUUUUAAGUCUGAUGUGAAAGCCUUCGGCUUAACCGAAGAAGGGCAUCGGAAACUGGGAGACUUGAGUGCAGAAGAGGAGAGUGGAACUCCAUGUGUAGCGGUGAAAUGCGUAGAUAUAUGGAAGAACACCAGUGGCGAAGGCGGCUCUCUGGUCUGUAACUGACGCUGAGGCUCGAAAGCGUGGGUAGCAAACAGGAUUAGAUACCCUG
Molecule: ribosomal RNA, 443 nt
Filed under: uncultured bacterium
Lineage: Bacteria
Description: partial 16S ribosomal RNA
Rfam family: Bacterial small subunit ribosomal RNA
Source: RNAcentral